AAAUAUACCGGUUCUUGUUAGAUCACCGAAGUCAAGCAUCAUUGGGUGCGUCAGUACUUGGGUGGGUGACCACCUGGGAACACCGCGUGCCGUUG
RNAcentral lists this ribosomal RNA (95 nucleotides) under Caerostris darwini. Lineage: Eukaryota; Metazoa; Arthropoda; Arachnida; Araneae; Araneidae. The record is from RNAcentral.